Molecule: unclassified non-coding RNA, 286 nt
Filed under: uncultured Armatimonadota bacterium
Lineage: Bacteria; Bacillati; Armatimonadota
Description: uncultured Armatimonadetes bacterium contains 16S-23S intergenic spacer region
Source: RNAcentral
UCCGAUUUGUCACCGGCAGUCUCCUAUGAGUCCCCGUCUUUCACGUCUCCUUGUGGGAGAGGGCCCCGUUUCUGAGGCUUGCGAUCGAUGUCAAGUCUGGGUAAGGUUCUUCGGUUAGUAUCGAAUUAAUCCACAUGCUCCACCGCUUGUGCGGGUCCCCGUCAAUUCAUUUGAGUUUCAACCUUGCGGCCGUACUCCCCAGGCGGGAUACUUAAUGCGUUAGCUGCGGCACAAGAGGGGUCGAUACCUCUUACGCCUAGUAUCCAUCGUUUAGGGCGUGGACUAC